CUCCUGUGAAGCAAAGGCUAAAUGAGAAAGUAGAUCCAGCAAGUAAGCAGAAACUUCAAGGCCGCCUAAGAAGGAGGCUUGUGGGGCAUGUUCUCCAACAAACUAAGUAAAAGAAAAGGGCUUGUAAAAUAAAAUACAAAGAUGUGUAUUUGGUGAAACCUGAGCAAGUACCAGAUACUGGCAAGAGAUACAUGUGAUUGCAGCUUGCAGCCCCCCCCCCCAUGAGGUUUCAAGUGAACUGAGUCAUUGGAAGUGUAUGAUUUGACUAAGAGUUUAUCUCCUGGAUUUGCUGCUACUUACUGCAAUCAGAAGGGACAUUUUCCCCUUGAAAUCAAUGUCUUUGUACAGUCUAAAACCACCUCUGUACUUCUCCAAGGAAGUCUCUCAGGAACAUCAGUUCCGUAAGACUGUUUCAUCACCUUAAACUGUUCUGGAGUCCAUCGUGCACCAUUUCAGACACCAAGCUCUGUUCAGUAAGCCAGUGACAGGCAAUUAAAAGAAAGAGCACUAAAAUGUUCUGUCAGCAUUACUGACCUUAAUUAGCAGUAUGCGAAUCAGCAUAUGCUAAAACUAUGACUGCUCGGACUCUUCCAUCCUCAAAGACAUUUGAUCCAGCUGAAAACACAGUGGAAACAAGACAGCUGCAAGAGCUAUGACAUGAAGCUGGUUCUAUAGGAACAUGUAGGCUUAAUUUAGUAACACUUGUUUUUCUUUGGCUCCAUGGCCACGCUAUCUCCAAGGAGGAGCAGGGCCAUUGCUGUCCUGACACCGAUCUUCAGCAGAGGAUCCGUGGGAUGAAGCACUGUAGGAAUCUAGUGAAAACAACACCCCAGCUUUACCCAGUCCAAGCGGAUUACAGGGCUUACAGAGCUGUAAAAGCUGUUUUCAUAAGGGCUGCCUGUUAACUGGUCCCUUCAGGACUUCACGCUGGCGUUAAGUGAUCAGGCCUUGAAAACCCAGCACUUGUGUUCACAUGGAGUGUCAACAGAACCGAAUAUGGAUUGUACAGCACAGAGCUCUCACAACCAGAGGAUUUAAAACCCCUACCAAAGGGUGUUGUUGGGGGUUUUCCUCUCAGCCAUCAGGCAGUUACACUGAGACCACUGAAACCAGCCUGAAGGGCGCACACGCUAUCAAAACCACAUGGAGAAGGCAGCAUUUGGAAAAGAGCAAGGCACAGCCGGGCUGCAGCAGGGCAGAAAGCAAAAGCUCAGGUUACAGCAUGGUCUGGCAGGUGGAAAAACCCCAAGGGUUUACUGACAACCUGCUUGUAUAUAAAUAGGAGGUAUUGCCCCAGAAAUAGAGAAGCCAAGCAGCGGGACACGGCCGUAACGCUAAAUCCUGGGGCAGCAGCAGAGAAGUGACUGAACUUCCAUAACUCAAUGCGGCUGGGAUCCAGCAUGAAAUAAAAAGCACGAUUGAUUCUCAAAA
Molecule: long non-coding RNA, 1431 nt
Organism: Pezoporus flaviventris
Lineage: Eukaryota; Metazoa; Chordata; Aves; Psittaciformes; Psittacidae
Exons: 2
Source: RefSeq, a predicted model, not a curated record